UGGGGAAUUUUGGACAAUGGGCGCAAGCCUGAUCCAGCCAUGCCGCGUGCGGGAAGAAGGCCUUCGGGUUGUAAACCGCUUUUGUCAGGGAAGAAAUCUUCUGAGUUAAUACCUCGGGAGGAUGACGGUACCUGAAGAAUAAGCACCGGCUAACUACGUGCCAGCAGCCGCGGUAAUACGUAGGGUGCAAGCGUUAAUCGGAAUUACUGGGCGUAAAGCGUGCGCAGGCGGUUUUGUAAGACAGAGGUGAAAUCCCCGGGCUCAACCUGGGAACUGCCUUUGUGACUGCAAGGCUUGAGUGCGGCAGAGGGGGAUGGAAUUCCGCGUGUAGCAGUGAAAUGCGUAGAUAUGCGGAGGAACACCGAUGGCGAAGGCAAUCCCCUGGGCCUGCACUGACGCUCAUGCACGAAAGCGUGGGGAGCAAACAGGAUUAGAUACCCUGGUAGUCCACGCCCUAAACGAUGCCAACUGGUUGUUGGGAAGGUUCCUUCUCAGUAACGUAGCUAACGCGUGAAGUUGACCGCCUGGGGAGUACGGCCGCAAGGUU
Molecule: ribosomal RNA, 547 nt
Filed under: uncultured bacterium
Lineage: Bacteria
Description: partial 16S ribosomal RNA
Rfam family: Bacterial small subunit ribosomal RNA
Source: RNAcentral